UAACCUGAUGAACAAUCCUAAGU
RNAcentral lists this non-coding RNA (23 nucleotides) under Cricetulus griseus (Chinese hamster). The record is from RNAcentral. Lineage: Eukaryota; Metazoa; Chordata; Mammalia; Rodentia; Cricetidae.